This is a long non-coding RNA of Columba livia (rock pigeon), 1888 nucleotides long. RefSeq lists it as uncharacterized. NCBI's taxonomy places the organism in Eukaryota, Metazoa, Chordata, Aves, Columbiformes, Columbidae. The transcript has 2 exons. The record is from RefSeq and is a predicted model, not a curated record.
CGGCACUGCGGCGGCGCUCAGCCCUCAAGGACCGGUGUCCCCGGCUGGGCUCCGGCAGUCGCCGACAGGCAGCGCGGCGGGCAGCCCUCGGCGGGGCUGAGGGGCAGAGGGUGCGCAGCGCCUCGGAGGAGAAGCUCCUGUGCACUUCCCACUGCCACCCAGCAACGUGUUUGUGAACAUUUUUGAAGACCGGUUUCCUCCAGCAGCGCUGUUGGUAACAUGUAACUGUAAAGACUAUGGUAACAGCAAGCCCCAGUCUGUGGAGACCACUCUCGCUGUGACGGCAAUGGAGCACACCAUGCUCAUCUGCAGGAGAGGCAACAUCCAGAAAACAUGGGUAGAUGCAAUUGCAUUUUAAGCUACUGCAGUUAGGAUUUCAUAAGAAAGGAAAGCACAUCAAUUAAUUAAAUACGAUAUGCAUUCACAGUUUUAUAUUGUGAUGGUACAUCAAAAUCCAAGGUAUAUAAGAUUGUACAGUUUUAAAUUAAUAACAUUGCAACAUAAGGGGAGAUGUCAAAGAUAAUUCAAGUGAGUUUAAGAUUCCUUGAUAUACAAACCCAUUACCUACUUUUCCCUUCACCUGUCCCCAUGCCCUUCAAAACAAAACAUUUAACAGUACAGGUGUACAGAACUGGUCCCUCAUUUCUGUCUGUUUUUGCACUUAAAACUCUCAGAAGCUUCCCACAAGCUUCACUUUUACCACACAGCCAGUCACUGCACUACAAUCCACUGCUGUGAAAACAUCUGUUUAAAAAUCCUUACUAGAAAUUAGCCAAUUAUUCUACCCUGGAAAGUCUUAGUCCUUAUUCUGAUCUGUAAAGUGCUCUGGUUAUUGUCAUUUCUGUGCCAGGCACGAGUGACAAAGCUCUUAAUGGUUUGAAGUGACUGCUGGAGCACAGGCUGCAUGUGGUAGAAUUUUUUUUUUUUUAGUAUUUUUUAGUCACUGCAGAAUGGCUCAAAGCCACACAAGGAGGCAGCAGCAGUGUCGUUACUCUCUACUCUCCUUUCUCAGUCUGUUUUGUGGCUGCCCUUUUGCCCUCUUCCCUGCUCAUUGCCUGGGAGACCUGAUCUUCAGGCCCUGCCCAGGUAAAACAGAUCCCAGUUUUGCCUCAAAUACAGAAUUCCUGCUGCACAGAACCACCGCUCCUUUUUACUGCAUGUGCCUAAUUGAUUUUAAAACAAUCUAUCCAUGUGCUCUAAGCCACACACUGGAACUUCAGCCUUUUGGAAAGGACAGGAAAAUGGGGCAAGUAACAUUUCUAAAGCUGCUGCUUGUAAUCUUUAGUACUGGUUUUUAUUUUAGGAAAAGACAGUUUUAACAGUCAAUGUAUAUCAAAAGGAAAUAAUAUGCAAGCUGUGCUUCAAAUCAUUUGGUACUCCAACGCAUCAGCAAUGGAAACAUCCACCACUGCUCUUUUUACAAAAACUCCUGUGUACCUUCCAUGUUUUAUCUGUUCCACAUACAUACUUGUCCUGUUUCCAUGAAAGAUAAAUAUAUGAAAAUAACUGAUCCAGACUGUACCCUCGUGACCUCCAAAUUACACAAAAUAAGGAAUAUUUUAUAAUAGAUCUACCUAGUUUAGAAUUUAAAGCCUACCAUGAUCCUAUUCUGCCUCUGGCCAAUGUUACUGUUGCUCAUUAGCUUUGUUACAUAAACCAAAAUACAGCUUUGUAGCGAAGAAGAGAUACUAAAAGUGCCACAGGGAUGAGAGAAAAAAAAAGUAUUUCAUGUAAAAACAGUAAUGCCGGUUAUCUGGAACAGGAUGAAGCUGAGUUUUGUGAUACUCCCACUGUAGACAGAAAUAUAGUGAGUUAUGAGAGUGCUUUAACUUAGAAAUUCAAAAUUUAUUUACAAGUUUUCACUAAGAAAAAAAAAAAAAAACAACAA